RNAcentral lists this ribosomal RNA (220 nucleotides) under Symbiodinium sp. CCMP2430. RNAcentral's name for it is "partial Bacterial large subunit ribosomal RNA". It matches the Rfam family "Bacterial large subunit ribosomal RNA", at positions 1119 to 1339 of the family's 2925-position model. The record is from RNAcentral. Lineage: Eukaryota; Dinophyceae; Suessiales; Symbiodiniaceae.
UCCUUUAAAGAAAGCGUAAUAGCUCACUGGUCGAGUCGGCCUGCGCGGAAGAUGUAACGGGGCUCAAACUGGUCACCGAAGCUGCGGCUGCAUACAUUGUAUGCGGGGUAGGGGAGCGUUCUGUAAGCCUGCGAAGGUGUGUUGAGAAGCAUGCUGGAGGUAUCAGAAGUGCGAAUGCUGACGUGAGUAACGAUAAUGCGGGUGAAAAACCCGCACGCCG